This 4125-nucleotide small RNA is filed under the name Rattus norvegicus (Norway rat). RNAcentral describes it as "uncharacterized LOC102548820". The record is from RNAcentral. Lineage: Eukaryota; Metazoa; Chordata; Mammalia; Rodentia; Muridae.
CUGUACCCCAGCUCAGGAAGCAGGGCAGGGGGACAAGCAGAUUCCACGAGACAGCAAGUCUAGCUGAAACCGAGCUCCAGGUUCAGUGAGAGAUCCCACUGAAAAAAUAAGUUGGAGAAGAAUAGUGAUCAUGGGUCUCUGGCCUCUAUAUGGACACAAAUGGGGCAUGCAUGCAAAUAAAUUCACAGGCACACGCACAUGCACACACUCACACACGAGCACGUUCACUCGCUACACCUCAAACAAACAGCAUACAGCUGAGCCACAGUGUGUAUGGACCUUGUACUCUGACCGAGUCGUGGAGUCGGAACGGAACUAAAAAAAAAAAAAAAGUGACAGUGUAACUGAGAAAGUUCCCGUCCCGCCGUGUCUGGUGGCAUAGGCAUCCGUGAGGCCGUGAGACCGUGUUUGAAGAUAAAGACAGGCUGGGAUGCCCUUCAGUGAGGGAGGUUCAGCCUCACCACCACAAUAAAGAGGGGGGGGAGGGAAGGAAGGAGGGGAGGGCCUAGUUCUGGGGCUGUGAGAGGGCCAAUACUCUGAGACAAAGUGGUGGAGAAGGAAGCUGAUCUCGAGGCUGGCGUGGUCGGAGGGAGAGCAGCUCACACCUGUGACUCUUUUGCUUCGCUGAGAGUACGGCACAUCUUGAGAACUGUUAUCAUCCCAAUUCUUUAAAGGAGCUAUUUUCAUUUCUUUAAAUUAUGUGGAUGGCUGUAGGUUCAUGUGCGGGUUUUUGCAGGCAGUGCAAGCACCCACAGAGGCCAGGGGUGCUGGAUCCCCUGGGGCUGGAGCCAUAAGCAGCCAUCCAUCCGAUGUGGGUGCUGGGAAUCUAACUUGAGUUUUCUGCAAGAACAAUAGAUGCUCUGAUUGCUGGGCUCUCUCUCCCGCUGGUCAUAGCAUGUUUCGUUACCUCAGCUUCAGGCAGCUGGGUACCAGGGUAGUUCAUUAGCCUUGAAAACUAACCAAUUCUGAUAUACGGGCUGUGAGCCUUUGAUAUCUGUCUGGAGGUGACUGAGUCAUGUUGCCCCUGUGAGUCUUAGCGAUUGUUCUAAGCUUGGCUUCUGAAGGUGUGAGGUCUGGUGUGCAGCUAACCUUUUCUUUGUGAUUUUUUUCUACAGCCUGAGAAGGAGCACCACACAGGAAAGGGUUGGUGCAUUUCAACUAGUUCUACAUCUUGUUGUUAAGACACGGGGCAAGAUGCCCAGCAAAACAAGAUUUUGCCUGUAAAUUGAAAAGAAGAAUGUCGGGAGGAAAUUCCAGGAGCUUAAGCGGCAGUGCACACGUGUGUGUUGUGGAGUAGACGGAAUCAGUAUUCUGUAAUACAGAAGGGAGCAGUGUGGGAUUAUUUGAAGUGGACAGCAAAAGAAAUCCAGGCCAUCAACACCUUUGGUGAAAAGAAAUACUAGGACUUCGGUCUUGGGCCCAGGCCCACUGCUGACAGCAUGAUGGAAGGAUGCACUUGCGGUCUAGACUCCCCCUCCCGCCUCCUGGAGUGGGGGUGAGGCGGCGUGGGCAACGGUUGGGAAGCUGUCUGGAGGCCUCUUGCAGAGACAUCAGAAUGCUUUGUUAGAACAAGCGCUGGGGAUCCAUCCUGUGGCUCACCCUAUCAAGCUGAAACCGGAUGUUGCUGCCAAGUUCUUUGGAAGGCUAAACAUUGUUGCCCUUGAACAUCUGCGUCUGCAAAAAGUUCUAGAUGUCAACCUUGUGACUAUACUAAUAAAAUCCUUGAAAGGUGAACAGAGGACAAACUGUACCAAGCCUCUGGUCCAAUGGCAUCCUGGAGUGGAGGGGGCUGCUCUGUGCGUCCUGGAGGUCUCACCCUAACAUGCGUCAGGGCAGAGGAAGUCUUGAGAACCUUGUGGACUUAUCUGUGGCAUCUUGAGGUAAGCAGUUCUGACCGUGGGGACAGAGUGGCAGUUUUCCCAGCUUGCUCAGAAAUGCAAGCACACACAGGUUCUUGGAUAAAUGGCUGAAGUGAGGUGUUCUUCUGAGAAUCGGGGGCUGCUCUUUGUUUCUCAAAUGAACACGCACAGACAGGUGGGCAGGGAGAGCAGCUUCAAAACACAGCAUGGACCUGGGUUUCAGUCCUGUCUCAGGAGAAGUAUUGUUUCUUUUCGCUACAGACUAGGAACUAAAUGAAGGUUUUAUACGCAGGGUCAUACAGGACGCCGGACACCGGACACUUAUAAAAACUUACAAGUGUUAGCAAAUGUUCUGGGUCAUUCAGAGACUCACCAGUAUAUUAAUAAAUUUUAACAGAGAAGAGGCUUUUCAUUCAAACACCGGUACCGUUCUACACUGGAGAACAGAGACUCAGGAUUCCAGAAUGCAGCCCCCAGCCACUUCAGUGAGGGGUUUGUAAAGGCAAAGAAUACAAAGUUACAGUUUGCUCUGGUUCAGCAAAAACAGUCCUCUUUACAGAACCAGAAACAGCCAUAAAAAAUGUAACCUUAACAGCUCUUAAUGUUUGGAGGUCUAGAUGGGCUUUAUGGUUCUGUUAAGCACAGAGAUGUUAAGUUUUUAAACAUAAAGUUAGCCAUUGAUGUGACUUUAGCCACCGUUGAGUUAUACCCUGAGUCAAAUCCUUGACUCUGCAUUGGGUACCUUUUCAUAUUGGGACUUAUUUACUAUCAUCUUAAUAGCUCAUAAGCAGGAUUUAUAGAUCUGGUCUUAACCUUGGCCUUAGUUAGUGUUAAUGAUGCAGGGUCAACUAUAAUCAGCAGGCACCCAAGGAAGAACAUGGGAGCCAUUUAUUUCCUCUCUGUGAGGUGUUUUCAAAGUUCAGCCAAAUUAUCCUUGAUACUCCUGAGUGGUUUGCCUAGAAGCAGAUGGCUACAGUAACCUCCUUGCCCUGUGUAAAGCAGAUCAAGUCCCUACCAUGUUGGAAGACUACCUCAGCCAAGAGUCAAGGUGUUCUUUUAAUUUUGCAAUGGACUUUUCUCAGGCAAAAAACAUCUGGGUUAUUUGAGGCCCUAAGUUUUUGUAGUUGACAUUAGUUGUGCUGUGCCUGUUGUCCUGAGCGUGGCUCAAGCCAUUCCCAAUCCUAAAUUUACUAUGGGGGAUGUAAGGGCCGGUGCCUGUGCAUACAUGUGUUUUCUCCCUACUGGACCAUUAUAAAGGCACAUGCAGGGAACAGGGUUAUCAAGACACAGAUUUUCAGGGAUUAGUGCACCUGCCAAAUAGGUAAGCAAGGUGCCAAGGGUUAGCACAUGUGAAACAAUGUUUCAACUGGGAGGUGAAGGAAGGAACAUUCACCUGAAGAAGUGAUGGCUGGGAACUGUGAGACAUCUGUGACAAGUUUGUAUCUGCUCUUAAGGGGGAUAUAGAAAUACAUCCCACAAAAGAGCAGGAGUUAAAUAUAGUCACAUAAAACAGUAGUAGUCUAUAAUUGUGUCCAGUUUAUCUUUGGUGGAUCCUCUCGGGCAUUGUGACAGUUCAUUUUUCUGCAGCCAGGUCAUUGUGGCCUGUGUUGUGCUUGACCUGCCAAUAAUAUACCCAGCUGUAGAUAGAUGCCAUCUUCCUUAGCAGCCAUGGGGGUGGUCAGGAUGACAAAGCAUGAUCCCUUCCAACAAGGUCCCAGAUCCUUCAGACCUAACAUGCCAGCUUUUUGUUAAGGGGGGAUGUGCUUACUUCUGUAACUGCUUCUCACUGAGAUUAAGACACCCUCGUAAGAACCCAUGAAGGCUGGAAAGCCAAAGGCCCAGGGGUGGGGCUCAGAUUGGGGGGCUGGAGGCAUUCACCAUAAGCAUCUGUUUUGCUGAUCCAGCUGAAGAGACAAGGAGCAAUUGUAUUGGCUGGUCUGAUUAUAGGGUUGCACAUCUGUGAUCUUAGCAUUCUGGAGGCAGAGGCAGGAGGAUCUCCAUUUGGAGGACAUCCUGGGCUAUAUAGACUCUCAUGCAUCUAUAAAGAAACUUUUGUUGUUCCUGUCUUGGGGCUGAAUUAAAGCCACUGAGUACAAACCCCGCUGUUGUACUGUGGCUGCACCUGAGGAAGUCCUCUUGAAUCUUAACGUUAACAUAUUAAAUACCCAAACCUUAUAUUAUGACCAAGUGAUAAGAGGGAGGAGAGGGGUUGGGGAUUUAGCUCAGUGGUAGAGCACUUGCCUAGCAAACGCAAGGCCCUGGGUUC